GUGAACGCUGGCGGUAGGCCUAACCCAUGCAAGUCGAACGGCAGCACAGUAAGAGCUUGCUCUUACGGGUGGCGAGUGGCGGACGGGUGAGGAAUACAUCGGAAUCUACUUUUUCGUGGGGGAUAACGUAGGGAAACUUACGCUAAUACCGCAUACGACCUACGGGUGAAAGCAGGGGAUCUUCGGACCUUGCGCGAUUGAAUGAGCCGAUGUCGGAUUAGCUAGUUGGCGGGGUAAAGGCCCACCAAGGCGACGAUCCGUAGCUGGUCUGAGAGGAUGAUCAGCCACACUGGAACUGAGACACGGUCCAGACUCCUACGGGAGGCAGCAGUGGGGAAUAUUGGACAAUGGGCGCAAGCCUGAUCCAGCCAUACCGCGUGGGUGAAGAAGGCCUUCGGGUUGUAAAGCCCUUUUGUUGGAAAAGAAAAGCAGCAGGUUAAUACCCCGCUGUUCUGACGGUACCCAAAGAAUAAGCACCGGCUAACUUCGUG
Molecule: ribosomal RNA, 491 nt
Filed under: uncultured bacterium
Lineage: Bacteria
Description: partial 16S ribosomal RNA
Rfam family: Bacterial small subunit ribosomal RNA
Source: RNAcentral